Molecule: non-coding RNA, 98 nt
Filed under: Intestinibaculum porci
Lineage: Bacteria; Bacillati; Bacillota; Erysipelotrichia; Erysipelotrichales; Erysipelotrichaceae
Description: THF riboswitch
Rfam family: THF (Tetrahydrofolate) riboswitch aptamer
About the family: THF riboswitch presents a pseudoknot that joins P1-P2 and the loop of P3 and two THF binding.
Source: RNAcentral
GCAGAGUAGAUAACGAGGCGUUAAGUGCCUAGGUGAACGGGGAGUUGUCACCAGGACGAAGAGCGAUGUCUUGCGGUUUCGUUAUCGCAUCCCGCUGC